RNAcentral lists this non-coding RNA (84 nucleotides) under Pseudomonas moraviensis. The record is from RNAcentral. Lineage: Bacteria; Pseudomonadati; Pseudomonadota; Gammaproteobacteria; Pseudomonadales; Pseudomonadaceae.
CUCGAUGGUGGCUGUUCGCAGGGCGCCCUCGGGCGCACCGGUACGUACUCCCGGUCGACUAACCUGCUUACAGCCGCCACCCUU